Etheostoma spectabile (orangethroat darter) is the source of this 308-nucleotide long non-coding RNA. RefSeq lists it as uncharacterized. Lineage: Eukaryota; Metazoa; Chordata; Actinopteri; Perciformes; Percidae. The record is from RefSeq and is a predicted model, not a curated record. The transcript has 3 exons.
GUGAGUCACAGAGAGUAAAGUGGUCCCGACUGGUCCUGGCUAACACCACCAUGCUAACCCUGAUAACUGCUAAAGUUACCGACAGACAAGGGUCACGGCUGUUUACAAUGUGUAGUCUGUUCAGUGGCCGUAGCCGUCAAGGGUGAGUUUUUUUAUGCCAAGAGAGGGGGGCUGUAAAUCGGGAAGAAAGGACCGUGAGUUUGCAGUGCGUUCAGCGAGUGUUUCCAUAAUUCUGAGCCAAUAAAGUGUGUUCAGUCGGGUGGAGAGGAUGGCACGGUAGUGUUAUUUUUAGCAGUUCUCGCCUCAAG